RNAcentral lists this transfer RNA (75 nucleotides) under Planctomycetota bacterium. RNAcentral describes it as "Planctomycetes bacterium (freshwater sediment metagenome) tRNA-Glu". The record is from RNAcentral. Lineage: Bacteria; Pseudomonadati; Planctomycetota.
GCGCCGGUGAUGUAACGCGAGCAUGCCCGCCUCUCCAGGCGGGAAGUGGCGGUUCGAUGCCGCCCCGGCGCUCCA